AUCACAUGCCAAGUUUGGCCUCA
Molecule: non-coding RNA, 23 nt
Filed under: Arabidopsis thaliana (thale cress)
Lineage: Eukaryota; Viridiplantae; Streptophyta; Magnoliopsida; Brassicales; Brassicaceae
Source: RNAcentral